This 26483-nucleotide long non-coding RNA is filed under the name Capsicum annuum. Its description in RNAcentral is "long non-coding RNA (CANN_LNC020227)". The record is from RNAcentral. Lineage: Eukaryota; Viridiplantae; Streptophyta; Magnoliopsida; Solanales; Solanaceae.
GAGUUGGUGGUGGCAGAGACUUAUAAACUGGUGCGGGAUUGAUAUAGCUCCUUGGGUGUGGAGGCGAUAUGUAGACUAGGGUUGGUGGAGGUGGUGACUUGUUGACUGGGUGUGUGGAGGGUAGUAAGGCUCCUUAGUAGUGGUGGCGACUUGUAAACUGUAGUCGGUAGAGGCGGUGACUUGUAGAUUGGGGUAUGAGGAGGGUAGUAUGGCUCCUUAAGUGGUUGUGGUGACUUGUAAACUGGAGUCGGCGAAGGUGGCGACUUAUAGACUGGGUGUUUGGAGGGUAGUAAGGCUCUUUGGGUGGGGGUGGCAACGUAUAAACUUGAGUUAGUGGAAGUGGUGAUUUGUAGACUGGGUGUGUGGGGGAUAGUAUGGCUCCUUAGGUAGUAGUGGUGAUUGGUAAAUAGGAGCCGGUGGAAAUGGCGACUUAUAGACUGGGUGUGUGGAGGGUAGUAAGGCUCUUUUGGUGGGGGUGACGACUUGUAAACUGGAGUUGAUGGAGGUGGCAAUUUGUAGACUGGGGUGUGUGGAGGAUAGUAUGGCUCCUUGGGUGGUGAUGGUGGUGACUAGUAAAGCGGAGUUGAAGGUGAUGGUGAUUUAUAAAGUGGUGCAGGAUGAUAAGGUGUUGGUGAAGGAUGGUAUGGCUCUUUUGGUGAUGGUGGAGAUAAAUAUUGAUAAUUUGCUGAGCUUUGGGAAGCCAAGCAAAGUGACACAAAAACCACUAAAAGAGUGGAAAAUAGAGAGGCCAUUUCUCCCAAAAAGAAACAAAGGAGAGAAGUUGUUGUCCCUUUAAGCUGCACUCAAAGCCCUUUGUAUAGCUUUCAUUUAGAAGGUAUAAGGCUAAAGUUAUGUAUUUUUAAUUAGUUUUGUCAUGUUGUCGGUUCAAUUUGACCUUUGUUGGUAUACUUUUUUUUUUUUGUUGGAUAGAAGGUGCAAGCUAAGCAAAGAAAUUAACUACUAUGGCAGCUAUACUAUUUAUGAUGCAAUAAUUCAAAAAAAAAUACGUGGAUCCCACAACUUCCCACAAGAUUUUAGUUAUAGGAAUCUGAGCACUUUUUUUUUACACUUAGGGUGUGUAUGGUACGAUGGAAAAUAUUUUCUGAAAAAUGUUGGUUGUAGUAAAAAAUAUUUUCUAAGAUAAUUCAUUUUUUCCUAUUUGAGGGAAAAUGACUUCCCUCAUGGACCAAGGGAAGUUAUUUUUCGGAAAAUGAUAAAUGUGACUUAUGCCCCCAUCCUCACCCCUCUUCCCACCCCAACAACACUCAUAUUCACAUAACUCAAAAAAUUCACAUUUUUAAAAAAUUUAUUUUACUCAAAAUAUUUUUCACUGUGCUUUGCUUCAAUUUUUCACUGCUUGAAAUAAAAAAUAGUGAAGCCCGACUUUUUUUCAUUUCCAAUGUUCGUUGAAUGUAUUGUUAUUUUCAUAUGCAUAGAGGAAGACUUACCUAUGUUACUUUUGCUAAUUGCAUAUUUUAUUUUGUCAUCGAUGUUACUUCUUUCACGAGGUUGAAUAAGCUUAUCGUCCCGUUAUAUUUCUAUUGAUUGUAGUAUCUUGAGAUUGUCCUGAAAAAAUGUUGAAAAGUGUCUCCUAUAUUUGCUAAUUAAUAGUUGCUUAAAUUUAGUGAUUGUAAUAUUUUAGUAUUCGAUAUUGAUAUUAUUUAUUAUGCUUAAAUUAGUUCUUACAAAUUGUUGAGUUGCUAGAUGCACUGAUAUACUAGUUAACAGUUAGUAGUAUUUUCUAAAAAAAAAAAUUUCACUCACCAAUCAAACACUAGAAAAUAUUUUUCUAAAAAAUAUUUUCUACUCACCAACCAAACACCAUAAAAUAUUUUUCGAAAAUAUUUUUCACUCACCAACCAAACAUGAGAAAAUAAAUAGAAAACCAACUUAUUUUCCAAGAAAACAUUUUUCAUGAAAAAUAUUUUCCAUCGUACCAAACACACCCUUAGUAUUUGAAGAAUUCAAUUCUUGUGGAUUCUGACAGCUUAACUAACCUUCACUUAAGUGCUGAGAAAUUUAAAACAAUAUGUAUACAGUAUCAUAUAUUCUUUAAAAGAAAUGAUAUGUCAUUGUUAAAAGAGUUUAAUCUAGAGAAAACUGUGCAUGUGACUCGCUUUCAUUACCAACUAAAUCAAUUAUGUUCUUUCCUUUUGUGUAGUAGAGCUAAAAGAAACAUCAACCGAUUAUUUUGUAGCUCAAUGUUGAAAACUUAUGUGGUUCAAUAUGAUAUCUCUGAAAAUUUUACAGCUUGUUUGAUAGCUGCUGCCUAAUAAUGUAUUGUAUCGUGUUGCUAGUUUAAAUAUAAUGUGUAUUUUGAUUGUUUCUUAAAUUUUACUGUAUCAUUAAAUCUAUAACUAGAUAGCAAUAAAAAGUCUCAUUUGGUGUAACGACCUAUUUGAUGUGAUCGCGUUGUUACCUUUUUUCCCCUUUUUAUUUAUUAUUUAAUUAUCUUAAUGCUCCUUUAUCCUAUAUUUUUAUAGUAACUCUACCUCACAUUUUUCUAUUUUCCUUCUAGGCUUAUCCUUGAACUGUUAUAUGAAGGAUGCAAUGUAAUGACGAAAAAGGUAUAAUAAAUCCAAAUAUCGUAACAUUCACUAAAAUAAUAAAGUACAUACAAUACAACAUGAUACUUUAUGAAACAAUAUCAUUCCAAGUUAAGGACUUGAUUAGAAUGUGCAUGUUAAGUGUCUGAUGGGUUACUUAAGUAUAAAGUUCAAGUCCAUAUAAAAAGAUAAACCCUAAUUAUAAUGCCUUCAUCAUGGCUGGUCGACAGUAGUCUACUACUGAAUUUCCUCCUUUGAACCCAAAUUCUAUUGUGAAUAUCCAAACCCUACCGUUGGAUAAAUCUUUUGUUGAAUCAAUCAGUACAACAAAGUUGGACACCGUCUCUCGCAAAGAGGUGGUCAUGGUGGAAGGAAUCCCGAAUGUCACACUGAAAAAAGUGGAUACAGUGAAUAAAAUGGAGAAUUUGCAAUUUGUUGUCAUAGGUAAAUUCACUUAAGAAUGGACGGGUAUAGAAGAAUUAAGGAAUAUUAUCCCACAGCAAUGCAACAUUAAUGGUGAUUGUCAAAUUGGAGUAUUCAGAAAUAAACAUAUUUUCAUUCGUUAGACACAGGAGUCGGAUUUUAUUAAUAUCAUCAUCUCAAAGGGAGCUUUUUCCUUGCACUGUAAGGAUGGGUUCUCUUAUUUGAUGCGAACACUCUCACACUUAUCUAUGAUCCCCUUUUCAAAGAAACUUUAGAGACUACAAAGACUUUCGCAUGGAUUUCUUUCCCAAAUCUAUUGCCUACCUAUUAUGUCAAGGAAUGUUUGUUUUCUUUAGCUGCAACAGUGGGAAAGCCUGUCCAACUUGAUCUAGCCACCAUUAAUAGGACUAGACCAAGUUGUGCAAGGAUUAAGGUCUUGGUUGAUCUAAAAGCUGAUUUCUCUAAAUCAGUCCGGAUGGAUAUUGAAAAUGAAGAGUCAGGUAAAUGCAGGACAAUAGUGAAGCGGAUUAAAUUCGACCAUAUUCCUAAGUAUUGUCAUGAAUGCAAUAUGCAAGUUCAUGCUAAGAAUCAAUGUAGAAACUUAGGCACCCCAGAGGAUGCAACAAUGGCAGUAACAGUGGAUAAUAAGGAAUAAAAGAGGCCAGUACAACAUCUUCCUAAAUUCACAAUGCCUUUUGUACACAAAUUUCAAAACGGAAAAGCAUGAGUUCUUUCGAGUGGGAUUGUAGUUGGAGAUCCUACUAACUGGAUGGUUAUUAAAAAUGAUAAGAGGAUAGUUAAUACUUCCCAACAGCCUCUUUUAAUGAUAUAGUUAAUACUUCCCAACAGCCUCUUUCAAUGACAAAUAACCAAUUUGCUGCUCUAGCUACCGACGACAAAGAACCUGCUGAAUUAAACAUUUCGACAAAGGAGAGUUCAAACCUUAAGGCAUGUACGGAUGUGUUCCAAAUAAUAAGGAAAAUGAAAAAGUUAAUCUGUGGUCCAAUAAAGAAUCUGCUAAAGAGUGGGUAUCAAGGGAUUUUGGCAAGCUAGGUGAAGUUCCCAAUUCUGUAAUACCUGUACAGCAACAAGGCAGUCAGCAACUAAGUAAUCAACAACAAAGGCAAGAUAGAGAUAAUAAUGCUAAAGAGAAUAAUAAAGAUGGUAAUGGGAUGGAGAAUGAUAUGCAGGUUAAAUCUUUAAUAAAUCAGGAGCAUAAUAUUGAUGAUGGUCAGCAACAAUGCCUCAUAGUCAAAAAGGACAAUCUGCAAUCUAUAGAAGAUGUGCAACCAGAUACCAAGCAAUAGUCAAUGCAGAUUAAUCAAGAUUUUUACAGUGGAAGCUAUGAUAAUGGAGAUAGGUCAGUUGAGGAAAGUGUGGGGAUAACAGUUGUGAUGCAAGGGGAACAAAAUGUGUGUUUAGAAAUAAUGGAGAUUCCAAAACCAGUGCAGAUAGAUGAAUCAUUUAUCGUUACCAAGAGUUCUCCCAACAAAGUAAUACAUGACAUUGUCUCUCAUAGUUUAGGGUACAUUAAAUGCAGUAAUCAAACUCACAUGGCCAAAGGAGUUAAAGAAGUAGAUGUAGAAGAUGAUUCGAAGGAUCAUGCUCCAUCGGAAGCUGAUUUAUCACCAAGACUGAUGAAAAUCUCUAAAAAAGGAUAAAAAAGAAUGUGGAUGGGAGAAAACUCACAACCUACCAGAGUUCAUCCUAAGCGAUCCAAAUCUGCCCUAAAUUAUCAAUGAAAGCACUUAUUUGGAACAUUAGGUCUGUGAAGACACAACAAGAUUUCAAAGACUUCAGAUGCUUAAUAAUUAUCAUAAGUUCACCGGUUUCAGUUUGUUAGAGCCUUUUCAGAAUGUUAGAUAUAAGAGAAGAUUGAAAAUGCAUAGGGCUAUGUCAAACUGCAAUAGCAAGAUUUGGUUUUUCUCCUCUCAAGAUGUGAUAACAACUGUUAUUAAAGACACUGAUCAUCAGCUACAGUUCACUUGCAGGAGUAGGCUCAGAGCUUAGAUUUAUUACUCUUGUUUAUGCAAAGUGUUCUAAAGAGGAGAGAUUAAUCUUAUGGAAGGAUAUUUAUCAAGUUGCUUCUGGAAUUUCAAAACCUUGGAUGCUAGGAGGAGAUUUAAUGUUGUUUUGAAUUCUGAAGAGAAAAUUGGUGGCCUUCCAAUUCUUGAUGCAGGCCAUGGGGACUUUCAAUCAUGUAUUUCUUAUUGUGAUUUGAUGGAGAUACCUUUUAAAGAAAGUUCUUUCACUUGGUGGAAUGGUAGAGCAGGUAAUGACUGUAUUUUAGAAAGAUUGGAUAGAAUUUUUACUAAUCAACAACAACAACAACAACAACAACAACAACAACAAACCCAGUGUAUUCCCACCUAGUGGGGUCUGGGGGGGUAAGAUGUACGCAGUCCAUACCUCUACCUCUGCUGAAUUUUUACUAAUCAAGAUUUACAAAAUAAGUUCAAUCACAUGAAGGUAGAACAUCUUGCUACUAGUUCAGAUCAUGCUCCCAUGUUGUUGUAUUGUUAUGACAGAGCUAUCAGUUACAAGAAAUCUUUUAGAUUUCUUAAGUUUUGGACUGAUCAUCCUAAGUUCCUAGAAGUAGUAAGGCAGAAUUGGUGUUCUUCAGGUUCUCAGAGUCCAUUCUUAGAUUUCAAAGCAAAGAUUAAGAGAAUUAAAGUUGCUUUGACAAGAUGGAGUAAAGAGACUUCUGGGGAUAUUUUUAAAUAGUUGAUAAUCAGGGAAGAAAUUGUCAAGAUCAAAGAGAAAUUAUUUGAGGAAUGCCCUACGGCUGAUAACAGCGAAGUGUUGCAAAGAGCUCAGUCCGAGCACAAAAUAUAUCUUCGUUUUGAAGAGAUUUUUUGGCAGCAAAAAGCAGGUUAUGACUGGUUUGAGAAUGGUGACAGAAAUAUUAAAUUUUUUCAUAGCACUGUGAAGGGGAGGAGGAAAAGAUUGAAUUUGAAUAGAAUUCAAAUUAAUCAGGGUAUUUGGCUGGAUAAAGAAGAAAAGAUAGCCGCAGAGGUUGUUAUGUUUUAUCAGGACCAAUUUAGACAAGAACAAGAGGCUAAUGUUUUUUCAUAACUGAAUAAUAUACCUAAGAGUAUUUCUGAUGAGCAAAAUAUUGUUUUAAGUCAGUAAGCUGAUCUUGAAGAAGUUAAAAAGGCACUUUUUAGCUUAAAUGAAUAUAGUGCAAGUGGCCCGGAUGGGUUAACAAGUAGGUUCUAUCAGGUUCGCUGGGAUAUUAUUGGUAAUGAUGUUCUUAAUCUGGUGCAAGAUUUCUUAAAAGGUAAUACUCUUCCCAAAUUCAUUAUUCAUACUAAUUUGGUGUUGCUUCCCAAGAAGGAUUUUAUUCAAUUUUUCUCAGAUUUGAGACCAAUUAGUCUUAAGUAAUUUUAUUAAUAAGAUCAUUUCUAGGAUUGUGCAUGACAAAAGUGAACUUCUUUUGCCUAGACUGAUUUCUUUUAAUCAAUCUAAAUUUGUCAAAGAGAGAAGAAUUAUUAAAAAUUUCCUCCUGACUCAAGAGAUAGUUACUGACAUCAGAAAAAUGGGUAAGCCGGCUAAUGUGGUCUUAAAGCUUGAUAUGACUAAGGCUUAUGAUAGGGUUUCCUGGUUUUUCCUGAUGAAGGUUCUAAGAAAAAUAGGGUUCUCAAAAUUGUUUAUGGACUUGUUUUGGAGAUUAUUGUCUAAUAAUUGGUAUUCUAUACUAAUUAAUGGGCGAUCACACGGCUUUUUUCACUCAACUAGGGGAGUAAAACAAAGAAAUCCUUUAUCUCCAGCUUUCUAUUUGAUGAUGCUCAAUAUGUAGGUUAUGAUAUGCCAAAGUGGAGUUCCAAUAUUAAUCAUCUUGCUUAUGCAGAUGACACUAUUAUAUUCGCUGCAGCUAACAGAUACUCUUUGAGAAAGAUUUUUUCAGUGUUACGGGAAUAUGAAACUCAAUCAGGGCAAAAAGUUAAUAAAGAGAAGAAUGCUUUCUACAUGCAUCAGAAUUCAGCUGCAGUUGAUAAACAAAUGGUGGAAGAUUGUGCGGCUAUUUCUAAAGGCCAAUUUCCUUUGAAAUACCUUGAAUGUCCUAUCACUCAUGCUAGAAAAAGAAAGAGUCAUUAUUCAGAGCUAAUUCAGAAGGUUAAGUCAAAAUUACAGGCUUGAAAAGGUAAUAUUCUCUCAUAUGGGGGGAAAGGAGGUCCUUAUCUCUAGUGUUCUUCAAAGUGUUCCUAUACAUAUCCUUUCUGUUGUUGUCCCUCCUAUUUGUGUAUUGAAGGAGCUUCACAGAAUAUUUGCAAAUUUUUUUGGAGUAAUAAGGCCGAUGGAAGAAACAAACACUGGGCUGCUUGGGUAAAGGUGUUUUUACCAAAACAGAAGGCAGUUUGAGUUUUAGAUCGAUGUUUGAGGUAUCUCAAGCCAUGUAUCCUAAGUUCUGGUGGAAGUUCAGAACUCAAAAUACUACUUGGUCCAACUUUAUAUGAGACAAGUAUUGCAAAAAGCAAAUACCUUCACUAGUUUAAUGGAAAGGUGGCUCGCAAGUAAGGAAGCAUAUGUUGCAAAAUAGGGAUCUAGUGGAGCAAUUCUUGUGGUGGAACCUAAAGGAGGUACUUCUACAGUUUGGUAUGAUAAUUGGACUCAACUUGGUCCUCUUUUCAAACACCAGGUAGAGGUCAUUCUUCUUUUCCAGUGAUGGAUAUUGAGGAAUUCAUGUUGGGCUCAGACUGGGAUUUUGAGAAUAUGCAAUAUCAUUUAUCAGAUAAUGUAGUAGAGCAUGUAAGAUUACAUUUGAGGCUUGUACGACAUCCUGGAGAAGGUGACAAGCCCUGGUGGAUUAAAUUUAGUUCUGGCAAGUUCUCGGUUAAAAGUGCUUGGGAAGAACGGAGGAAAAAAACGUUUGUAAUGAGUCAUUUCAGAAGAUCUGGGUAAAAGAGAUUCCUUUCAAAAUUUCUUACUUUGGUUGGAGAGUUUGGACAAAUAGGAUUCCUGUAGCCUCUGUUUUAGCUAAUUGGAAUCCUAACUUGUCUCCUCUUUAUUCAUAUUGUGUUUCAAGAAAUCAUGGAGCACCUCUUUCUAAAAGGUGAAGUGGUUUAUUUCGGUUUGGAUUUAUUACGCCAAUGCUGCAGGUAUUCUGGGGCCCUGGGUUCAAAUUAAACUAUCCAUAAAGAAGUGGUGGGAUAUAAAUGGUAAUUAAAGACAAAGAUUCAUCUUUCAGGUAGUUCCUACUCUCAUUUUGUGGUUUUUACGGAAAAGAAGGAAUGCAUUAGUUCAUGGAGGUUCAUACUCUACAGCCAAGGUUAUUUGGGAUAUUAAUGGUUUAAUUAAGAAAAUUCUCAGAAAGAAGUUUGGUUAUGAUCAGUUACCAUCUAGUUGGCCUCAAAUAGUUGCUUUUUGACUUAUUUAGACCUACAUUUUUAUCUAGAUGGAUAAGAUGGUAUCCCCCACCUAGGGGAUAGUGGAAAUAUAACACUGAUGGAACCUCGAGAGGUAAUCUAGGUCGAAUUUCAGCUGAUUUUUGUGUACGAAAUCAUGUAGGUGAUCUUGUGUAUGCUAAGGGUUUCUCUAUUCCAGAUUCCACUAAUCUGGUUGUUAAAGUCAUUGCUAUAGGAGUUGGUUUACAUUAUUGCUUAGAAAAUCAAAUUGUCAACAUUAUUGUGGAAUCUGAUUCCCUUGUAGUAGUCAACAUGAUUAAUGGAGUGUGGGAAAUUCCUUAGAGUGUGAUAAUGGAGGUCAACUCCAUUAAAGAUAUGAUGGAUUCUUGUUCAGCAAGAGUACAACACUCCUUAGGAAAGGGAAAUACUCUUGCUGAUUAUUUAGCUAACUUGGUUUUUCAUUUUGCAGGUAACUUUGAAUUCAACAGUUUUCAUGAAAUUCCAAGCGCAGGUAGGAAGAUUAUCAAUCUAGACAAACAAGGCAUUCCACAAAUGAGGAUAAGACAGUGUACAUCAACUAAUUCAACAAGGGAUGGAUCGCUACUGCAGAUUACAAAGUGAAUUUACAAACUCUAUUAGCAGUGACUAGUUACUGGUGAAUUUAGUGCAGUCUGAAUUAGUUUCGUUUGGUUAACAUACCAUGCACCUGUGGGAAUUUUUAGGUGUUACAUAGAGUAUAAACCCAGGACUCACUUAUACUAGUUGCUAAUUUCUAGGUAUAGAGUUUAUAAAAAUCAAGCACAAAUUUAGAGGCAUUUCAUAGUCUCAAAUCUGUUGAUGAGGAGAGGAUGGAGUACCCGGGACCUCAAAUUUAGCGGCGGAAGAUAGACAGGGUAUAAUUAUCAAGCAAUACAAUUCUUUUAUACAGAUUCCACUUCAGAGAAGAACAAAAAUAAUCAUUGCCAACUUAUGGAUUGCAAAGUGUCAAAAUACAAAUUUCAGCAUUUGGAGUAACACAAGAAGGCAAGGAGCAAGAUAAGUAUUAAUGGACAGUAGUGGUGAUUAACAUUCACUAAUACUGAUUGAUUUCUAAGUCAUACAAUUGAAAUGGGGGUUAAGGUGAACCUGUUAGUUCUGGAUCCUUGGUGGUGGUAUCAAUCUCCUUGAGGUUUAUUCCGCUAGGAAAAAGAGAGAACAGUGAAAUCAUUUUUUUCAUUUCACAGAUGAGUUUAGAAUAGAAAAAGGGAGGUGACUUACCAUAUCAUCUGCAAUAAAUAUUUAUUGAUUUGGAGCUGUAGAAAUUUAGUUGAAACCAAUUUCAUGAAGUUUGUAAGAGAUUAAAGUGUCUUAGUGAAAUUUGAUGGAUGUUCCAUGGCAAUAAUGGCUUCCACAACUUAAUGCAACAACCAGAUGAGGUUGGAGUAGCAAAGAUUGAAACCAUAGUUGCCUCUCCGUGAUGUCUUUCAGCUUUGAGUUUUAUCCACACAUUCCUUUUCCUGCUUACAUUUUCUGUUUUUGGUCUUUUCAGAUGUCUGGAUAUAUUUGUUGCUUUUGUUUUGGACCCGGGUCUUGCUUAACUUGGGCCAAUUUGUACAUAUCUUUUCUGCUCCUGAAUAAAUUGGGCUCUGGUCCAUCUUCAAUUAAAAAAAAGGAAAAAUGACAUGGACUGACCAGUUUAAAAAAAGGAAAUUUUGCAUAUAUACCGACAUGUUUACUCUUAAUUACCAAAAAUUUCAACAUUUUUCAAAAUCUCCAAAAAUUCCAACAUUUGACCUCUGAUAAUACAAGUUAAUCACAUUAGAUACAUACUGUUGAUAUAUGUAUCUAAUGUGAUUAACUUGUAUCAUACAUUAGAUAUAUGUAGGGUUACAUUAGAUACAUGUAGGGUUACAUUAAAUACAUGUAGGGUUAACUUGUAUCUCAAAAAUAGUCCCAAAUAUGAAAUGUUGGAAUUUAUGUAAUUUUUCAGAAGUAGGGGGAUUUUUAGAAAUUUUGAAAGUUAUGAUGUUUAUUUAUGUAAUUUUUUGUUAAAAAGAAAAAAAAUAGCCCACACUAUGAAAAUAUGGACAAUUGGAGCCAGUAGACCCAAUUUAUUUCCUGUUUUUUCAGUCAUUUGGCCCAAAACUAUUCUCCUUACACAAUUAAGGGGAUUAAAUACUCUUCACAGUAGGCUACUCUUAAAUCACUUUUCUUUUCAAACUAUACUUUCCCAAAAAAAUGUUCACCUCUAUUAUGUGUCGAUCAAUCUACUGUGUUUUGUGAUAACAAUUGAGUUAGUAGGGCACAUGCAGUCUCUAUACCCAAUUGAUACACUUUUGUACCAUAUUGAUACAUGUUUAUACCCAAUUGAUACUCUUUAUACUACAUUGAUACACUUUUAUACUCAAUUGAUACUCUUUUAUACUAGAUUGAUACACUUUUAUACCACGUCGAUACAGUAUGUAUAUUACAUAAAUACAUCUUUUACAGAGGAAAUUUGUGCAAGCAUAUACAGUAACAAUACCAAAUUAAUACAGUAAAUCAAAAUUAGUAAGUACGAACAUAAUUGAUACUCUUUAAAAUUAUAGUAUUAAUAGUACAUAAAGUAACAAAAAAAAAGAUCAAAUCAUCUUUCCAUCAAUUAUUGUUUUGAUUUAGUUCAUUCUUUCUCCUUAACGCUCUUUUAUAUUUCUAACUUCCUCUUCCUACCUUUAUUUUCUCUUCUUUUUUUCUUUCCUUCAUUACUAAGUUAGUUGUAAACACCCAUAUGAUGAAGUAUGUAUUUACUCUUGAGUUGAUGUCAUAUUUAUCCUACUAAGAAAAAUCACAGGUUCUGUAAGGAAUUGUCUAGACAUGGAGUACAUAUAAAAAUUUAUUCUGCCACUUGAAAAAAACCUGUAAAAAACUAAUUAAAUUCAGAUUUUUUGAGAUUUUAUACAAAAUUUAUGAAAUGAGAAAGGUAAAUUGGAGUAUCGAAAAAAGGUAAAGGAACAAAUAUUUAGGAGUUUGAAUGGAAAGGAAACUGGGAAUGAAAAGAAAAGAAAGAAAGGGAAAGUUACUUCAAGGAUGUUUUUGAUUUUGUUUAAGCGUAUGACAGUGAAGGUUAGUUAGUGGAAUUACUCUGUGUCUAUUUAUGAUGUAUUUAAUUUUGACUGCUAUUUUUUUAUAUUAUUUUAGUUUUAGGUGUUAUUUCUGUCAUUUGCCCAAAAAAAAAAACUUACUAUUUUACUACAAUUCUUGUUGGUAAGAAUACAUUAUUUCUUUUUUUUUUUUAGGGCAAACAACAUAAAUUUCGAGAAUUUGGAGCUUAAUUACAGAAAAUUCUGAUAUUUUGCAUAAUUGUUGAAAAUCUCAAUUUUGGAUCUGUUGAGAUACAUUAUUAGCUUCUGAUACAAUCAAAAAGAUACAUUUUUAACUUUGUAUAGAUAUAUAAUUAGCUUCCGCUACAUAUUUUUUAAAUUUUGCGUUUGUUGAGAUAUAUAAUACAUCCAAUGAAGAUAUAUUUUUUUCUUUGUAAAGAUAUAUAAUUAGCUCCCAGUGCAGUUUUUUUAUUUUUGGGUCUGUCGAGAUACAUAAUAAGCUUUCGAUACAUCCAACGAAGAUAUAUAAUUAAUUGAGCUUUUUGUAGUUAUUUUGUAAGAGUGAAAAUUUUGUAUAAAUAUAAUAAGUUAAGAUGUAUAUUUAUACUAUUUUUCCAUAAUUUGCUUGCGAACCAAAUCGACCACUAAAGAAUUGAAAAGUUAAACAAUUUGUUCCCAAUACAGAACAAACUUUAGCCUAAAAUUUAAUGCUAAAAAUUACUACAAUGAGCUGAGUGGCUGAAAUGGUGCCACUUAAGAAUAAUUUGGUGGAUGAAAUGAAUGAAUUGUUUUGGAGUACAAAUUUUGAUUUAGACAAUCUAUUGAAAUUUAUUAUAGUACUGUUUAUAUUUAGGGGCCAUUUUUCAGGAUCUAUGAAAAAUUUAUAAUGUUGAGUAGAACAUACUAUAAAAGUAAUGUUGGAUAGAGCAUAUCACACAUUAGCACAAUCCUAAUCAAUAAUGAUAGCUAUUCAUCUCUAGUUCACUUUUAUAGUUAAUCAAAGAAUUAUUAACAACGAAAAUUAAUUUUCUUGUUUUGGUUUUCUAUCAUUGAAUCAGCAAUAGUUUGAUAUAAGAACUAUUCAGAACAGACUAAAUUAAAGAGAAAGAUGGAAUACCGUCAAUGAAAAUAAUAGGAUAUGAUAUCUUCAAAGAUAAAGAAGGCAGUGAACUUUUUACACAUAUAAUACGUAUAAUUAUUAAAGAAUAUAAAAGAAAUUAAAAAAAGGACAUACAGUACAUAUAUAAACUGGAAAAGAAGAUCAAUAAUGUAAAAGUUUGAUGUUAACACUGUUCCUUAAUUAAAAUUUCCAUAAUGAUUAUACUCGCUAUUUUCUUUCAUUUGCACAAAUCAAUAUGCUCCUUUCCCCCCUUUUUUUCUCCUGAUCACUCCUUAAAGAACGAGACAUAUAGCAUACAUAGAGAAGAGAGUACUUUGUCUCCCUCAAUAAAUACCUUGAGAAAAAAAUGUAACUCAUUAGUAGUUUCUUGAUUUUGUAAAAUUUUCUUUAUUUAAAAAAGAGUAACAUUGGAAGAAGGUCAUUAGUAUCUUUUUUAUUAUCUAAAACAACAUUUAUUAUCUUUUUUAUUAUCUAAAACAACAUUUAUUAGGAGCAAAAUAAAAAAGCUAAACAACCACUUAUUAGAAACAGAGGGAGUACUAAUUAUCUGAUAGUGUUUUCAGUGUUACGCAUCAUGAACUAAAAGCUUAAUUUAAGAAGCAUUGACUGCUUAAUGAAAUCUUUUAAUUCACAAUGAUAAUAAGGAAAUCCAAUUUGUGUUGUAUCAUUCUAGCCUUUCCAUUUUUUAUGGAGACAAAGCAUUAAUAGACAAAUGGAGAUUGGACAUAUCAAGAUUUCAGUCUCAUCCUGUCAAAUCAUUAAUUGUAAAACCUUCAUGUAUUUCUAUGUUCAGCCUAAGAUAUUAAGGGGUUAAUAUUCUUUCAAAACAUGGAGAGUUUCUGAUAUUGGGAGACAUGGUUGUUUGUCGAAUAUAUUUAUUUCUCAAUAAUUGAAAUAUAUAAUUGUAUUUGAUGUGAAGAAAGUAUUAGUUAAAAUGCAGUUUGGUUCAUUUUGGCUAGGGAUUCCAUCCUUUCCAUGUAUAAAAGUUUUUGAAUGUAAGGAUGAGAAAUCAAGGUAUCUGCUACACUUUUUUUAUAUAUACGUGUAGCGCAUGUAUCGAGAAAUUAGUAAAAGAAAAAAAAAAUUCCUCAGCUAAUUCUCAAUCAACACCAACUCCAUCUUAGGAAAGUGUGGUUGGUUCUGUUCUUCCUCGAAUUCAAUGAAUUUUUGUCAUAUUGUCAUACAUAUAACGAAUAAUAUAUAUAUNNNNNNNNNNNNNNNNNNNNNNNNNNNNNNNNNNNNNNNNNNNNNNNNNNNNNNNNNNNNNNNNNNNNNNNNNNNNNNNNNNNNNNNNNNNNNNNNNNNNNNNNNNNNNNNNNNNNNNNNNNNNNNNNNNNNNNNNNNNNNNNNNNNNNNNNNNNNNNNNNNNNNNNNNNNNNNNNNNUAUGCCUCUUUUCCUCUUUAAAUUUUAAAGUAAUAAUUAAGAAGAAAAAAGAAGAAGAUACUAUUCAAUAAUUUAAUUCUGAUACCAUCAACAUGGAAGACUCCAUUUGCUUCAUCUAACAAUGGACUUUGGCAUUAUAUAAUUAACAAAACAAUUAAUUAUUAGGAUAACUUAAUCACCGACAAAGGUUUCUUACUAUUAUCCUUAUGAGAUUCCACUAGUUAAGCUAAAUAUUUUUAAUCGACGUAAGAGUUAUGAAUGUAUAAACAAGUAGAUCUUAGCUACAUUGACCUAGUCAAUCAUUAUUAUUACCGACAUAUUUAUGCUAUACAAAUAUUUGUCCUAAUGCUAUCUUUUAUUUAUUUUUUUAAUGGAAAAGGGUCAAAAAGAUUCCUGAAUUAUUCGAAGUGGAGCAAAAAUAUCCCUCAUUAGUUUUUUGUCUCAAAAGUAUCCCUCUCUAAUGAAAUAACACCAAGCAUGUCAUGUAGACAAAAUACGUCACUUGAACAGUUCACGUCAGAUCGACCAUCUUUAUUAAAGGUGAAUGCUCCAUUAAAUGAGAGAUUUUCCAUGUGGAUAUUGGCGCCUAGCGUGGACUGUUCAAGUGGCGCUUUUUGUCCACGGACAUACUUAGUAUCAUUCUGUUAGAGAGAUGAAUAGUUUUGAGCCAAAAAUUUAAUGGAGGAAUAGUUGUAAGCAAAAAAAUUAACGAAAGAUAUUUUUACUUUAUUUCAAAUAAUUUAGGAAUAUUUUUAAUCGUUUUUUGCUUUUUUAUGAUUUCUAAGUUGCUUAUAAUUUUUUUAUUACUACAUGAUUAACAAUAUUUUUUUAUUUCCAUAAAUAACAGAGAGUAAACUAAGUUGCACCUUAAUGGUCGAAAAGUAUUCACUAUUUUUUUUAGACUUAAAGAGGUGAUUCUGAUACAUGUCUUAUGAACAAUCAUUACAAAUUUUAUUAUUUUAAAUUUUGUUUUAGAUAAGUCUAUGAUUAAGUUGUUGGUGACCAAUUUAUUCAAUUGAGUGAGGCUGGCAUGUCCAAAGAUUUUAGGACGAAGAAACGGGUUAUUAUGUUAAUUAGGUAGAUUUAUUUUAGGGAGAAAUAAGACAUAUGCUUUAAUUUGUAAAUAUUAAUAAGUAUUUUUCCAUUUAAGCAUAGCUUCUUUUAAAUUUAAAUUAGUAAUCAAACAGUGUUUAGUAGUAUUUUCUACCUUGUUGGCUUUGUCACACAUUUGAGAGAUGCUAAAAAUGUGUAUUAAAAAAAAAAUAAGAUGGAAAGAGAAGCAUACUGGCUCAAAGGUAAAGCCGCUAAAACGUGCUUUAAGGUUCAAAAAUAGUAUUUUUAUUAUAUAAUUAGUCUCUCCUAUGUUUUACAGUUUAUAGUCUAUAUGCAAUAAAUCAAAUUCUAUUAUAUAAUUUUUUAUAUAAAAAUAAAAGUUUCUUUAAAGUUAUUAAAGGAUGUCCAUUUGUUGUAAUAAAAUACAUUGAUUUUGGUUCUCAGAAUCCUAUUGGUACAUAAUAAACUUUGGCUAUUUUAAUUCAAAGUUUUAAAAUAUCAAAUACAAUUCUAUAAUCUUUAACUAAAAAUUUAAAAAUAAGAUUAUUAAACUUCCGAUGAUAUGAUUGUAUAAGAAAAUAAUAAACAUUUUAAAAUGUUAUUGUAACUUUAUAUAAUACAUGUAACAGUAUUUUUCUAGUGAUUAUAAGAAGAAUUUUAUUGAAAAAUCAAACGUAAUUGUAACUUGCGGUAUUGAAAGUAAAAUUUGAUGGCGAGGAAAAUAUGAGUCCAUUCUUAUGUCAUUAAAAUUUAUAAACCUUUUUAUUAAGAUGACUUGAAAAUGGUAUUUAACUAUAUAUAAUUUAUAAUUUUUUAAUUAUCAUAAAUAAAAUAUUUCAUUUUCGUGAUAUUUUAGUUUGGAUUGCUUUCUAUCUAUCAUUAAUGACAAAAUACAUCGUCAGACCCCUUAAAUUGACACCAUUUUUCACUUUGGCAUCUUAAGUGGACAUUGUUCACCUUUGGCAGUUCAAAUAACCAUAAAGUGUAUCAUUUUGACAUCUUUCGACAUCAAUAAAAGUGUGUGUUACACUCACUGUCAACGUGGAUAAAACGGCCAACUGAUUUAUGCCAAUUCAUUUAAAUUGCCACAUCAUUAUUUAUAUUCACAAUUAGUUUUAAAAAAAAUAAAAUCAAAACAUAUGGCAAUUAAUGACAUAAUUAUCUAACUCAUUAAUAUAUAUACAAAAUUAAAUUAAAAGAAUCAAUUAAUUACUGACACGUGACAUUUUUCAAAAUAAUUAUAAAAUUAUUUAUUUUAUUUGGACAACCCUCCACCCACCUCCCACCCCCAAACUCCAAAGUCAUCUUCUCUACCACCAUCUAUCCCCCCGAUACCCCCCACCCUAAAUCAUCUUCUCUAUUUGGCAACACCCCUCUUCCCGUCAUGUUCUCCAUCUCCCUCCCCCCCCACCACCCCCAACCCCUGCCUGAGUCAUCUUAUCCUCUCCAUUUGCCCCUUUGAAAAGAUGAACACUCAAUCAAAGAUUAUAGUAUAUAUGUAUAUCAAAGACCUUGAUUAGUCAUAGCUUGACCUCAAAAAUUAGAAGGCAUUAAAUGACUGUUUUUUUUCUUAACAAAAAAUAAAAAAGAAAUGAUUGACCUUGAAAUAUAUUCAUCAGUAGUAUGUGUGAACCUAUUCUUUGGCAACGCAGUGGUCUUCUUACUACUUCAGUUGCAGUCAUAACAUGUUGACAAAGAUGGUGAUUGCUCAACAACAAAUCACUCGUUGUUGUUAGUGUGUUAGUGUGUUUCGUUAUUCUUGAAAAGUUCAACCUCCAUUAAUGGAAGUUAAGCUAAAGAAAGGUUGUGUGAAGAAGGCAAUGUGAGGAAAUUUUUUGUAAUUAUUUGGUCAAUAAAACAUGUGCCAUUAAUUUAUUGGAUCAAUUUUUACUGAUUUGGCAAUAGAGAUUUUCAAUAGUUUUAAAAAAAAUUUAAAGAUGAAAAAUUACAAAAAUAUCCCUAAAAAUUUAUGAAAAUACUCUUCAAACGCUCCAAAAAGUGAGCAACGUCCACUUGAAGUGCCAAAAUGAAAGAUAGCACCAAGUUGAGGACCGACAAUAUAUUCUUUCUUCAUUAAUUAGUGCAUGUACUACUCCUGUACUCCAUUGGUUUUGAUUUUUUCUUGUUCCUGCACAUUAUUUCUCCUUUUUUACUGUCUAUAUAGUACUAUUUUUUAACUUAGUAUGUUGAAAUUAAUUAUUUUUUAUUUGCAUAUGAAAAAGAAAUACUUAACUAGAUUGAUUCUUAUUCGUAUAUAAAAAGUUAAAAUAGUGAAAUUCAAGAAAAAUAUAUGAAUUUUAUAUUUGGCUUUAGAUGGCUAAUUAUAUUAAGCCGCCCUUGAAGGGACGGUGAAUUGUAAUAUUUUUUGUGGUUGACUAUGAGGCGAGCUAUAAUAUGAAAUCAAAUAAGUAACAUAGUAUAAUUAUGUGCUAAGUAAUGUGUCAUAUGAUAUUUUUCAAUUGAUUUGAAUUCAGUGUGAAUUAUAGUUAGUCCUUCCUUUUGGAUUUUUGUUAAACUGAAAUUUUCAUUUUUAUUACAUAGAGAGAGAAGUUAUAAAAAGGAUGAUUACAACGUGUUGUAACUUUUCAGGACGAAGAACAACAAGUCAUUGUUUUAUUAAAGAGGGAUUGUCCCUUGUCCAUAUCAGCUUUCAAGAAAAUAACAGAACAAAUGUUGAAUCUACUACUAUGAGAAAUUCAUCAUUUGUUUUGUUGGAGUUAGCCAAUGUCUGCUUUCUCCUUCCUAAUCCUAAAAUUAGCCAAACCAACUUUAUCCAACCUAUAAGUCCUUUAUAUUCAUCAUUAAGCUCUUGAAAUUGUUGUUGAGUACAAUGUUGAGGGUGUACUUAAUUUCUAAUCAUACAAUAGCGGUCUUUUUCACUCUUUGUAGUUGAUAUAUUGCCUCACCAAACACUAUUUUCCUCUCUUCGCUCUUUUUAAAUACACAAUAAAUGAAUUAGGAAGUUACAAUGCUUGUUAAGAAUAGCAUAGAGCUUUGGAGAAUGUUUGGACAGGAUGUACAGUUUCUUUUCCUAGAAGGCAUAUAUAGUCUUUGUGUGCUUGAUGUCUUGAAAAAGGAUAGAGAAAGACAAUCCAUACUACAUGAAAAAUAUUGAAUUGAGACAUAAUAUUUAUCAAUGGACAAGUCUGGCAUAGAGUUUAAACGGAUUUGUGAUAGAAUUAACUAAUUUAUAGUGUUGAUUUUAAUUUUUUCAAAAAUAAAUCAUAAAAUAGAUUGCCUAGCUUGACGUGUUAUGUGAUAUUAUGCAUAGAUUAAGUCCAUUGGAGGUUGUCUGAUUAGAGAAUCGGACAAUGCUUAGCAUGGGAAUUUCAUUGAAUAUGGAGCUAAGUGAGACUUUAAUCUCUCAUUUACUUGCUUUUUCAAAAGCAUUAUUUAAAACUGAGAAAUCGCUUCAAACUACUCCUCCACCCCAUUUUAGUUGGGCACAUUCUAUUUUAUACGGUGAUUAAGAAUCAUAAAUUGAAUGAUAAAUUUUACGAUCUUACCCUUUACUCAUAUUAAUGUUAUUCGUUGGGCAUAAGAAUGAACAUUGAAAUUGAAAUUGUUAACAUUUAAUAUAUACUAAAAAUUGUAGGGGAAAAAUAAAAAAAUAAUUAAUUUUAUCCUAAUUUAGUAAGUGGUCUUUUUUGGUGGGCUGAAACGCAUUAAAAAGAAAUAGCGGAGUAUUACAGUAGCACCUGGAUUAACCAGGAUCUACAAAAUUUGAGUUUGAGCUUAUGCCCUCUAAUGAAACAUUACAACACCUUGUUUGCCUAAUGAAACUAGUUCCUAGGAUGUCAGCCCAGGUAGCUUUGCAGCAUACAUUGGAGGAAUUACAAAAGAGUUUCUCUGUCCACAAACUUUCAGUCUUGCUCCUUCCUUAGCUAAUGCAUCCUUCACCAUAUUCUGCUCUUUAUAGCAGUGCUGGAUUUGUGGUCGUCCCAGACUCCUGAUUAGCAACCUGCAUCCAUUAAUUAUGGCAUUAUAGUGGAGGUUUCCCUCUUUGAGCAUAAUAAUAACCUUUUUCGAGUCUACAUUGAUGUCCACGGGAACUAAGGACAUUUCCUCCAUAAUUUUUAGUCCCUUUAGUUGAGCAAAGAGCUCCAUCUGGUUAUUAGUAAUCACAGGGAAAACUUUUUUGAAACCUGUAGUCCAAUUCCCUUCAUUGUCUCUAAUAACCCCUCCAAUACCACCCCUACCAGGAUUUCCCAAACAUGAGCCAUCAGUGUUAAGUUUAAAUCUUUCUUUAGAGGUUGGUUCCCACUUAACACUAAUGUUCAAUAAUCUAUUUGUCACGACCUGAAUCAAGGUCUGGCCGUGAUGGGCAUCCCUAGCCAACCAAGGUCGGAGAUGACCCCUAACCUUACCUCAAGAGCACAUCAGUAAAAACAAACAACAAAAUCCAACCAAGAUAAAAAGAGAAACAUAUGAUUCCAAAAGAAAGUUAAGAGUCAAAACCAACUCCAUAAUAAUAUCCCGACACUGCCUACAAAAGUCUCUAAUCCAAAAAUACCAACUAAGUCAAGACAUGUCCCCGACUAUAACAAAAGAAAUUCAAAAGUUCUGAAAUGAUAAAUGUAACUAAGAAAGAGGCCAAGUCUUUUGAUAGUUCAUAAGUUGGUUGAACUUGUGUUGAACUUAUUGUGGAUUAAAUACAAAUUUUGUACCCAGAAUAACAAUCUUAAGGAAUUUAUUAAUAAUUUUAAUUUUUGAGUUUCUAGAGAUUAAAACUUUUUGCUUUCUACGCUGUUUGAACUUUAUAGUGAUUUGAAGUUAUAAAAACUUCAUCACGGGUUAAUGUUCAUUCAGUUGAUGAUUAGAAGAACAUAAAAGCUUCAACAUUAAACUAGAAAUAAGUUGUUUAAAGUUUUUAAAACUUUAUUCUUAGUAUUUUGACUUACUAAAUUGGUUGUCUUUUUGUCACAGUAAAAAUGAUUAUUGAAAAUCAAGUUAAUGAUGGAAUGGUCAAUGUCACAACAACAAAUAUUGCUACUUAAAAUCGUUCAAAUGCUGCUCCGCCAAGGCACUGACAGAAAAAUCAGAAAGUUUUCUAGUGUGGAUUUUAAAAGAUGGCAGCAGAAGUUGUUCUUUUAUCUGACUACAUUAAAUCUACAAAGGUUCAUCACUGAAAGCAUUUCAGAGUUUUCGAAAGAAAUAUCCAAAAAUAUACUUUAUUACUACAAAAGCUUGAAAGCACUUGAAUUUUUUAUAUAAGAACUACAUACUGAGUGGCUACAACAUGGCAUGUACAAUGUGUACAGCAAUAUGAAGACCUCUAAGGAACUAUGGGUAGCUUUGGAAAAGAAGUACAACAUAGAGAAUGCAUGAAUGAAGAAAUUUAUUAUUGCAAGAUUUGUAGAUUUUAGGUGGUAGACAGUAAUACUGUAGUUACCCAAGUUCAAGAACCGCAAGUCAUCAUUCAUGAUCUCCUCACCAAAGGUAUAAAUUUGUUCUUGAUACUUACAUAGUCUCUGAUGUAGGCUUAAUUGUGAACGAGGCUUAUCAAGUAGCUGCUAUAAUCGAGAAGUUACCACAUUUGUGGAAAGACUUCAAAAACUACUUAAAGCACAAGCACAAGGAGAUGUCUUUCGAAGACCUUAUUGUGAGGUUAAGAAUCGAAGAGGACAAUAAAGCAUCAGAAAAGAGGUCUCGAUGGAAUUUACAAUAAGUAGAGAAAAUAUUGUGGAAGACGACCCCCAAUAAAUUAAAGAGAGAAAGGAAGCGUCAGGACAAUAAGGCAAUCCUCCUAAGAAGAAAUUCAAAGAAAAUUAUUUUAACUGUGACAAAGUUGGCCACAAGUCUUCAGAUUGUCAGGCUCCUAAGAAGGACAAGAAAAGAGGAUCAAGCUAACAUGGUUGAAUCCAAGAUGAUGUGGAGAUCUAUGUGCUAUGCUUUUGGAGUGCAUGUUGGUUGAAAAUCCUAGAGAGUAGUGGAUUAAUUCAGGUGCCACUAGCCACAAUGUGCCAACAAAAAAUUAUUUCCAUUAUAUUUUCUGGCUCAGGCUAAUGAGAACAUAUUCACGGUAACUCUGUUACGGUAAAGAUUGAAGGAAAAUGCAAGAUUUACUUGAAGAUGACAUUGGGCAAGGUGGUGACACUAAACAACGUCCUUUAUGUUUCAAAGUUGCGAAAGAACUUAGUUUCUACUUCACUUCUAACUAAAAAUAGAUUCAAAUAAGAAUUUGUUUCUGACAAAGCUGUAAUUAGUAAGCAAGAAGUGUAUGUAGGUAAAGGUUACUUCAUCGAGGAUUUUUUUAAGAUCAGUGUAAUAAAUGUUGAAAUCAAUAAAAAUUCUGUUUCUUCUUACUUACUUGAGUUAAAUGAAUUAUGGCAUGAACAUUUAGGACAUAUUAAUUACAAAACUUUGCAAAAACUGAUUAAUUUAAAAAUUUUGCCUAACUUUGAGUGUAAUAAAUCAAAUUGUCAAACAUGUGUGGAAUCUAAGUAUGCUAAGCAUCUAUAUAAGUCUGUUGAAAGGAAUUUCAAUCCCUUAGACUUAAUCCACACAAAUAUUUAUGCUAUGAAGUCAAUACCAUCUCAUGGUGAGAAAAAGUAUUUCAUAACUUUUAUUAAUGAUUGCGCUAGAUAUUGUUAUUUUUAUUUGCUAAAUGAUAAGAAUAAAGUAAUAGACGUAUUUUGGUAAUAUAAAACUAAAGUUGAAAACCAGUUGGAUAAAAAGAUCAAAAUAAUAAGAAGUAAUAGGAGUAGAGAGUAUGUAUCUUCUUUUGCAGGGGUAUGUUAGAAAAAAGGAAUUAUCCAUCAAACUAAUUUCCCGUAUUCACCUCAAUCAAAUGGGAUUGUGAAAAGAAAAAUUGAAUGUUAAAGAAAAUAAUAAUUGUCUUACUCAUAAGUUCAGAUAUACCGCAAAACUUGUGGGGGGAAGUUAUCCUUACAGCAAAUCGAAUACUCAAUAGAGUUCCCUAUAAGAAGACACACUCUAUCCUAUAUGAAAAUGAAAAGGAAGGAAACCCAACUUGAAAUAUUUCAAAGUGUGGGAUUGUCUAGCUAAAGUCCAAGUCUAUAUACCUAAAAGGAUAAAAAUAGGACCAAAGAUUGUGGAUUGUGUGUUCAUCGUAUAUGCUACAAGGAGUAAAGCAUUUCAAUAUUUGGUUCAUAAAUUCGAACCAUGAAAAUACGAUAAUCUGAAUCAGAUAAUAUUAAGUUCUUUGAAUACAUUUAUCCGUAUAAAAUUGGACAUGAGAUGUCUAGUGGAGGAUCUAAACAACCUCGAGAUGAACCAAAGGAGAAUGUACUUAAUAAUGAGAAUCAAGGUGUAGUACACGUCAAAUACCGUCAAUUUUCUUUGGAUAAGAUUUUGUAACAUUUCUUCUUGAAAAUGAGCCUUAAAAAUUGAAAGAAACGAUGUCGUCUUCAGACCCAUCCUUUUGGAAAGAGGCAAUCAAUGGUGAUAUAGAUUCAAUCUUGAGCAACCAUACUUAGGAAUUGAUUGAUCUUUCUCCGGUAAAUAAACCUUUAGGUUCUAAAUGGAUCUUCAAAAGGAAAAUAAAAGCUAGUGGUACUUUUGACAAUUAUAAGACAAGACUUGUUGUGAAAGAUUUUAGACAAAAAGAAGGCCUUUAUUAUUUCGAUACAUACUCGCCAAUAACAAGGAUAACGUUCAUUCAGAUGUUGGUUGCGUUGACGACAGUAUAUGAUGUUGAAAUUCAUCAAAUGGAUGUGAAUACAACGUUCUUAAAUAGAGAAUUGAAGGGAGAAAUUUACAUAAAACAACCUAAGGGUUUUGUAGUUUCUGGUAAAGAAAAGAAAUUGUGCAAACUUGUUAAAACACUUUAUGGAUUAAAACAAGCACCCAAAUAGUGGUAUAUAAAAUUUGACCAAACCAUGUUGGCAAACGAUUUCAGGAUAAACGAAUGUGAUAAAUGUGUUUACAUUAAAGACACUCCAAAUCACAAAGUCAUUAUUUGUUUGUAUGUGGAUGACAUGUUGACCAUCAGUAGAGACAUUCUAACAUAAAUGCUAUGAAAUAAAUGCCUGAGGGCAAGUUUGAUUUGAAAGACCUUAGAGUUGCUGACGUAAUCUUAGGGAUAAGAAUUUUUAGAACUCCAUAGGUAUUGGCGUUGUCACAGUCGCAUUACAUUGAAAAGGUGUUUGACAAGUUCAAGCAUUUAGAUUUCAAUAUUGUUGAGACUACAUUAGACAUGAGUUUUGCAUUUCAAAAGAAUGAAGGUGAAAGUAACUCACAGUUGGACUAUGCAAGAGUGUUGAAAAGUUUGGUGUAUAUAUCAUAAAUUGUACGUGAGAAGACAUAGAAUGCACUAUUAGUAAAUUAAGUCGGUAAAAGACUACUCCUAAUCAAACUCAUUGGAUGGAUAUGAAAAAAGUUUUAGGGUAUCUAAAACAUACCCAAGACUAUGUUUUUAUUAUAACAAAUAUCCAGCGUAGAUGAGGUGACUUUUCAAAAUAAUGUAAUUUUUCGUGAACCAUUACUUUCUUUCUGAAGCACCACAUUGUGGCUAUAAAUGCCUGAAUUUUUCCUCUGAUAAAGGUAUGAAGAUUUGAAGGGAAAAACAUUUUCUUUUUCUUCUUAAAACUCUGGUAUGAUCUUCAAACUAUUGAGUGAGUUCGUUGUUCAGAAAAUUUGAGGUACCACUAUUUUUUGAAGAGAAUCAUUUUUCGUAGGGAGGAUAUAUUCCUUUAACCUCGAGUACUUGACUAGAAUAAUUUUUUUAAGGAUACAUCGUGAAUUCAGUGGAUUUGACUCAAUCGUUUCUGUCUUCAUCCCAUUUUCUUAAAGUUGGUUUUAUUAUUUUUCCAGAAAAAUAGUUUGAACAUUAUAUUGAUAGUUCUUCAUUUGUUUGAACUUGUGUUUGAAGUUUUUGAAACUUCAUUUUGAUAGGUUAUAAGUUGUUGAACUUGUGUUGAAGUUAUUGUGGAUUAAAUACAGAUUUUGUACAAAAAAUAAUACGAAAUAGCUGUGAAACCUUGGGGAGCGACCAACUAAAAGAAUUUGCACCGAAGUCGAUCCGAAAUCACUUUCAAAGUAAUGGCUUACCACGACACAAUAUUUUCAGUUCCAUAUUAAUAUUAGAGUAAUUUUUCCAACAAGUGGCAAAGUUUGUUAUUUAACUACAAAAUUUGUUCGUCAACAAAUCCUUGUUUUUCUUUUGUUGGGUAGUAUAUUUUGGUUUUAUCUAAUCAAUCUAUUGACAAGCUAAGCGCCUACGAAAACGAUGUAGAUGUUCUACCUACGGGGGCGGGGGGGUGUCUAUUACAAUUACAAAAAUAAACUGAAUGUUGAGUUUCAGUUCCACUAACACCUUGCAAAAGUGAAUUACCCAUGAAAGAUGGGGGUAUUAUAUCAAAAAAAAAAAACAUAUCUUUUGUUGUUUUCUAAUUUCUAACGAUAUAUUUUUGAUCCAUUGCUUUCCCAUAGUAUGCUAACUUGACAGCCACUUUUUUUUGCUUUUCUAUAUACGUGGAACACUUUUUUUUUCGUCAAAAUGCGAAUCAUAAUUUAAUCCGUCAAUUUUUACUAAAUUGUAAUUGUCUUUUUUUUUUUAUAAACAGAGAUAGCAGGUAACCCAAGAAAAAAAAAUGUCUAGCAGAACAUAUUACGCAUCCUCGAAACUACUAUGACCUAUAAAACUAGAUGAUAAAAAAAUUGGUUUUAUCAUACUGGCACACUUGUAGAUGUUCCAUAAUUCAUGUAAAUUUACUUCAGAUGAAUUGUAGUUUUUGUGUUCAAAUUCAUAUAAAAACGAAAUGAUUUAAGUUUCGUUCUUUGAAUAUCGCCAUACAGAAAUAAAAUAGAACAAGGGGAGUACUUUUCUAGGUCUCUAUUUGAUAUUUUAUCAGUAACAAUUUGAAAAUAGUCAUAACUCAUACACGUAGUAGUAGGUGGAAAUGUUUCUGAUUGAAUUCGGCAUAAAAAUAUUUUUAUGGAAAAAAAGUUUCUUCUAGUUUUGGUUUAUAAGUGGAUCAAUUUUUGUGGAAAAAAAGUUUCUGCUAGUUUUGGUUUCUAAGUGGAUCAUUCCCUAGCGCUCUACUAAAUGAUUUAAUUUUAUAUAAAGAAGAUGAAAUUAUAAGAAAAAAGAGAAAAAAGAAAAAGACUAGAGAUCUAAAGAAGGGAAAACUUAAAGUAUGUGGUAAUAACUUCUUUUAUUCAUCACAUAAUCUCUGCAUUUUGCAAGGAGAUUGAAACUGAGCAAACAUACACAAAGACAUAAAAGUAAAAAUACAAAUAUAAAUAGAGUACAAACAAUAUCACUAAUAACUUAGAGAACAUGAAGCUACAAAAGAACUUCGCCUCCCGUGGGGCUUAUUGUUUACUCUUUUUUCUUCUUUUUGGCAUUGCCUCUCGAAAUGGAAAAUGCCUUUCCUUGAGCUCAACAUUCUGCUUUUCCUGCAUAAGAAUAUAAUAUUGUCAAUGAGAACAUAUAGUAACUGAUUAAUAAACCUAAUAAGUAGGAGAUAGCAUAGGCUUAUAUAUUAAUGCGUUUGCAUGAAGAAAUUGUGCAACUUGUAUUGAUUUGCAUUUAGACAAAUCAUUUUUAAGAAUUUUAGUUUGGCUUAAUUACCUUAGAUUUGAUGUUGUUGUUUCUUAGUGAUGGUAGGGAGGAGGUGGAGACUUGUAAACCGGAGUUGGUGGUGGUGGAGACUUGUAUACUGGUGCAGGAUGGUGUGGUGUUGGUGAAGGAUGGUAUGGAUUCACUGGUGGUGGUGACUUGUAAACGGGUGUUGGUGGUGGUGGAGAUUUGUAUACUGGUGCAGGGUGGUAUGACUUCACUGGUGGUGGUGGUGACUGGUAAACGGGUGUUGGUGGUGGUGGAGACUUAUAAACUGGUGCAGGAUGAUAUGGCUUCACUGGUGAUGGUGGUGACUUGUAAACGGGUGUUGGUGGUGGUGGAGACUUAUAAAUUGGUGUGGGAUGAUAUGGUGUUGGUGGAGGAUAGUAUGGCCUCUUAGGUGGUGGUGGUGACUUGUAAACUGGAGUUGGUGGUGGUGGCGACUUGUACACUGGAGUGUGUGGCGGGUAGUAUGGCUUUUUGGGUGGUGGUGGGGACUUGUAAACUGGAGUUGGGGGUGGUGGAGACUUGUAAACUGGGGUGUGUGGAGGGUAGUGUGGUGGUGACUUGUAAACUGGAGUCGGGGGUGGUGGAGACUUGUAAACUGGGGUGUGUGGAGGAUAAUGUGGCUUCUUUGGUGGUGGUGGGGACUUGUAAACUGGAGUGUGUGGAGGAUAGUGUGGCUUCUUCGGUGGUGGUGGUGACUUGUAAACAGGAGUUGGUGGUGGUGGCGACUUGUGAACUGGUGCGGGAUGAUAAGGUGUUGGUGAAGGGUGGUAUGGCUUCUUAGGUGGUGGUGGAGAUUUGUAAACAGGAUGAUGAUGGUGUGGUGGAGGGGACUUAUAUACUGGGUGGUGAUGGUUUGGUGGAGGAGACUUAUAUACUGGGUGGUGGGGUGGAGAUGGAUAGACAUGCACUGGUGGAGGAGGAGAUGAAUAAUGAUAAUUUGCAGAGCUUUCAGAAGCUAAGCUAAGUGACACUAAAACCACCAAAAGAGUGGCAACUAGAGAGGCCAUUUUCCCCAUAUU